GGGGUUGUGGCUCAGCAGUAGAGCACCUACCUCGCACGCAUGAGACCCUGGGUUCAAUCCUCAGCACCA
This 69-nucleotide transfer RNA is filed under the name Ictidomys tridecemlineatus (thirteen-lined ground squirrel). RNAcentral describes it as "Spermophilus tridecemlineatus (thirteen-lined ground squirrel) tRNA". It matches the Rfam family "tRNA". From Rfam's summary of the family: Transfer RNA (tRNA) molecules are approximately 80 nucleotides in length. Lineage: Eukaryota; Metazoa; Chordata; Mammalia; Rodentia; Sciuridae. The record is from Rfam by way of RNAcentral.